Molecule: ribosomal RNA, 109 nt
Filed under: Streptococcus pneumoniae
Lineage: Bacteria; Bacillati; Bacillota; Bacilli; Lactobacillales; Streptococcaceae
Source: RNAcentral
UGAUGGCAGAGAGGUCACACCCGUUCCCAUACCGAACACGGAAGUUAAGCUCUCUAGCGCCGAUGGCAGUUGGGACCUUGUCCCUGUGAGAGUAGGACGUCGCCAAGCU